This 468-nucleotide ribosomal RNA is filed under the name uncultured bacterium. RNAcentral's name for it is "partial 16S ribosomal RNA". It matches the Rfam family "Bacterial small subunit ribosomal RNA", at positions 28 to 507 of the family's 1533-position model. The record is from RNAcentral.
GACGAACGCUGGCGGCGUGCUUAACACAUGCAAGUCGAACGGAAAGGCCCUGCUUUUGUGGGGUGCUCGAGUGGCGAACGGGUGAGUAACACGUGAGUAACCUGCCCUUGACUUUGGGAUAACUUCAGGAAACUGGGGCUAAUACCGGAUAGGAGCUCCUGCUGCAUGGUGGGGGUUGGAAAGUUUCGGCGGUUGGGGAUGGACUCGCGGCUUAUCAGCUUGUUGGUGGGGUAGUGGCUUACCAAGGCUUUGACGGGUAGCCGGCCUGAGAGGGUGACCGGCCACAUUGGGACUGAGGUACGGGCCAGACUGCUACGGGAGGCAGCGGUGGGGAAUAUUGCACAAUGGGCGGAAGCCUGAUGCAGCAACGCCGCGUGCGGGAUGACGGCCUUCGGGUUGUAAACCGCUUUCGCCUGUGACGAAGCGUGAGUGACGGUAAUGGGUAAAGAAGCACCGGCUAACUACGUG